CCAAACUGUUGCCUCGGCGGGAUCUCUGCCCCGGGUGCGUCGCAGCCCCGGACCAAGGCGCCCGCCGGAGGACCAACCAAAACUCUUAUUGUAUACCCCCUCGCGGGUUUUUUUAUAAUCUGAGCCUUCUCGGCGCCUCUCGUAGGCGUUUCGAAAAUGAAUCAAAACUUUCAACAACGGAUCUCUUGGUUCUGGCAUCGAUGAAGAACGCAGCGAAAUGCGAUAAGUAAUGUGAAUUGCAGAAUUCAGUGAAUCAUCGAAUCUUUGAACGCACAUUGCGCCCGCCAGUAUUCUGGCGGGCAUGCCUGUCCGAGCGUCAUUUCAACCCUCGAACCCCUCCGGGGGGUCGGCGUUGGGGAUCGGCCCUCCCUUAGCGGGGUGGCCGUCUCCGAAAUACAGUGGCGGUCUCGCCGCAGCCUCUCCUGCGCAGUAGUUUGCACACUCGCAUCGGGAGCGCGGCGCGUCCACAGCCGUUAAACACCCAACUUCUGAAAUGUUGACCUCGGAUCAGGUAGGAAUACCCGCUGAACUUAAGCAUAUCAAUAAGCGGAGGAA
This 555-nucleotide ribosomal RNA is filed under the name Trichoderma harzianum. RNAcentral describes it as "eukaryotic LSU rRNA". The stretch from base 166 to 319 matches the Rfam family "5.8S ribosomal RNA". The record is from RNAcentral. Lineage: Eukaryota; Fungi; Ascomycota; Sordariomycetes; Hypocreales; Hypocreaceae.